Halichondria panicea is the source of this 1305-nucleotide long non-coding RNA. RefSeq lists it as uncharacterized. NCBI's taxonomy places the organism in Eukaryota, Metazoa, Porifera, Demospongiae, Suberitida, Halichondriidae. The record is from RefSeq and is a predicted model, not a curated record. The transcript has 10 exons.
ACCUAUGAGGAACAUCAAGAAGCAAGAGAAGUUCAAGAAGAGAAGACAGGACUGGAAUAAACAUUAUUCAGUAUUUUAUUCAGUCAUUUAUCUAUGAUAAAAAUAAUGGCAGCCAUGUUUAUACUGUAGAUGUACUUCCAAGUGCAAAAGCAUGGAGGCCUAUGGUAGAUCCAGUCAGUGCAUACGUCUAGCAUAAAUAGCAUACCUGAAGUGAGAGAAUGGAGAGCUGAGCUGAAGAAAGGAGGUUUUGUGUUUAUGUACACAGCCAAAAAUCCACGGGAACGUUUCAGGCCAGUGGGGAAAAUCAGCUGAAUACAGGCCGGAAUACGGGCCUGUAUGCAGAUGUAAUCGCCCACGGCCUGCUUACAUCCUGGAACCACAGGCCCGUUACAGCACGUACAUCCUGUCCUGAAUACAGCCCGUAAAUAACGGACCUGUUUCAGCCUGUACCACCCACGUCCUGCUUACAGCCUGUGCAGCUAGUGUAUGCGCAUGCGCAGAGAGAAAGUUGCUUAGCUACCAAAUCCACUAAGAGACUGAAAAGGUGCUUCAGUUUGAUCUUCUCCUUCAGUUGCAGCUUUAAAGGAUGGAUGGAGUAAUUAUAUUAUUUAUGGAGCUGACUGCCAAGGCCAGCUAGCAAGAAAAAGAGAGAGAGAGGAACUGCUAGAUGUCUCUGUAAUUCUUCUCUCACUGUCUCUAGGAGUCCAGCUCUAUAGGCUACAAGAUCUGGUUGACUCUGACGCAGGUUGUUGACUUCUAAUACAAUGUUAUAAGAAUACACAUCUAAAAAGAAGAAUAUGCACCUCUACAACGGCUACUAAAUAGAUGUACCUGUGUCUAUGUCAUCAUUACUGUACUGAUUGAGCUCGAGAUUGAGGUUCCUAUUCACACUACUUGAGAAUAUGUACAUAUAUAAAUUGGAAUGCUCAUGCCAUCAAUGAUUUCAACCCAUCAUGACCAGAAGCAUCGUGGACACACCUAUAUCGUGGACACACCUAUAUCGUGGACACACCUAUAUCGUGGACACACCUAUACUUUAGAAUUUGGCAGUUAAGUUACUGGCUCUGGACAUGGCUGGUCUGUGACAGUACAAACAGUCGAACAAAAAAGGUAUAAAUGUGACAGAGGACAUGGCUGGUCUGUGGACAGUACGAACAGUCGAACAACACAUUAUAAUGUGACACACUCGAGCAGCACAAGCACUAGAAGAAACAUUCUUAUUAGUGUUGUAAACUGUCAAACUGUCUGGCUAUGUUUGUUUCUUAAAAAUGUUAACACUUUGUGGAAUUAUUCAUGCCAAACUCA